UACGGAGGGUGCAAGCGUUAUCCGGAUUCACUGGGUUUAAAGGGUGCGUAGGGGGGUUGGUAAGUCAGGGGUGAAAUCCCCGAGCUUAACUUGGGAACUGCCAUUGAUACUAUCAGUCUUGAAUACUGUGGAGGUCAGCAGAAUAUGUCAUGUAGCGGUGAAAUGCUUAGAUAUGACAUAGAAUACCAAUUGCGAAGGCAGCUGGCUAGACAAAUAUUGACACUGAGGCACGAAAGCGUGGGGAUCAAACAGG
Molecule: ribosomal RNA, 253 nt
Filed under: uncultured bacterium
Lineage: Bacteria
Description: partial 16S ribosomal RNA
Rfam family: Bacterial small subunit ribosomal RNA
Source: RNAcentral